AGGGGCUUAGGAUAGUGUUAAGACCUGGAGCCUUCAAAGCCCCCAGCGGGAGUUAGAAUCUCCCAGCCCCUG
RNAcentral lists this transfer RNA (72 nucleotides) under Sillago japonica (Japanese sillago). Its description in RNAcentral is "tRNA-Trp". It matches the Rfam family "tRNA". From Rfam's summary of the family: Transfer RNA (tRNA) molecules are approximately 80 nucleotides in length. Their secondary structure includes four short double-helical elements and three loops (D, anti-codon, and T loops). Further hydrogen bonds mediate the characteristic L-shaped molecular structure. tRNAs have two regions of fundamental functional importance: the anti-codon, which is responsible for specific mRNA codon recognition, and the 3' end, to which the tRNAs corresponding amino acid is attached (by aminoacyl-tRNA synthetases). tRNAs cope with the degeneracy of the genetic code in two manners: having more than one tRNA (with a specific anti-codon) for a particular amino acid; and 'wobble' base-pairing, i.e. permitting non-standard base-pairing at the 3rd anti-codon position. Lineage: Eukaryota; Metazoa; Chordata; Actinopteri; Sillaginidae. The record is from RNAcentral.